CCUUCCUCUCUCUGUGUCCUUCCAGUGGUUUUACCCUAUGGUAGGUUACGUCAUGCUGUUCUACCACAGGGUAGAACCACGGACGGGAUGCCGGGGCUCUCUGCG
MicroRNA precursor from Anolis carolinensis (green anole), 105 nucleotides. Ensembl annotates it as aca-mir-140. Its record names the gene aca-mir-140. NCBI's taxonomy places the organism in Eukaryota, Metazoa, Chordata, Lepidosauria, Squamata, Anolidae. The record is from Ensembl.